This 672-nucleotide ribosomal RNA is filed under the name Triticum aestivum (bread wheat). RNAcentral's name for it is "partial small subunit ribosomal RNA". The record is from RNAcentral. Lineage: Eukaryota; Viridiplantae; Streptophyta; Magnoliopsida; Poales; Poaceae.
AUGCAGCUCAAGCUCGUCCCUGGCAACUCAGCCGGCACCGUCACCGCAUACUACCUGUCGUCGCAGGGGCCGACGCACGACGAGAUCGACUUCGAGUUCCUGGGCAAUGUCACCGGCGAGCCGUACACUCUGCACACCAACGUGUUCACGCAGGGGCAGGGGCAGCGGGAGCAGCAGUUCCACCUCUGGUUCGAUCCCACCAACGACUUCCACACCUACUCCAUCCUCUGGAACCCAAAGCACAUCAUCUUCAUGGUGGACGACAUGCCGAUCAGAGACUUCAAGAACCUGGAGGGAAAGGGGAUCGCCUUCCCCAAGAACCAGCCCAUGCGGCUCUACUCCAGCCUCUGGAACGCCGACGACUGGGCCACGCAGGGCGGCCGCGUCAAGACGGACUGGUCCCACGCGCCGUUUUCGGCCUCCUACCGCGGCUUCAAGGCCGACGCGUGCGUGGUGACCGCAGGUGGCCAGCCGCGCUGCGGCGCCAGCGUCGGCACGGAUGCGGCCCCGGGCACCGGCUCCUCUGCCACGUCGGGCGAGUGGUACAACCAGGAGCUGGACCUGACGCGGCAGCAGCGGAUGCGGUGGGUGCAGAGCAAUUACAUGAUCUACAACUACUGCACUGACCCCAAGCGCGUCGCCAUGGGCGUCCCCGCCGAGUGCUCCAUGUAG